UCUAAAUUCUCUCUCAAGUCAAAUCCUCCAUUGAAGAAACUUUAAGCUCCAAGGAAGAGGAUCAAAUUCCCCAUGUUUUAACCUAAAUUUCGUGGAUAGGUCUUCAAUGAGGUGGUGGCAACUGAGGAUUCCUAGAGUUGAAGCUUGGGAAGUAGAUUUCUCUCAAGAUUGGAUAUGAGUCGAAGGAGGACACCUGCAUGAAGUGUGAAGAAAGGAGUAGUGAAUGAGGGAUUUCCUUCCCUAGACAAAUAAGUUCCUCAAGAUGAAAAAAUGCCUACAGCUAGUUAAGCGAAUGAGGUUCUGGUAGUUCCCCUGGAGAUGACUAAAGAGGAGGUUAAAAGAGCUCUUAUUGCCCUAUACCGAGCCACUUAAGAAUAUAGUGAAGUGGGGCCUAGGGUGAAUUCUCUUGAGAGUACCAUGACUUCUAGGUUGAGGUACUUUGUUCAAAGGUGGGAUAGGAUCCCCAAGAGUUUCUAGAUUGUGUUUAUAAGGUGUUGAAUGCUAUGGACGUGACUUCAAAAGAGAAGGUGGAGUUGUGUUCAUAUCAAUUGAGGAAGGUUGCUCAAGUGUGGUACAUAUAAUGGAAAGAAAAUAGUCCGGUUGAAUCCGAUCCUAUAGAACAAGAUGAGUUUAAGGAAGCAUUCUUAGCAAAGUACUUUUUACGAGAACAGAGAAGAUAAGGUUGAGAAGUUUAUAAGCCUUAGGCAAGGUAACAUGAGUAUGGAUGAAAUUUUCCUUGAAAUUUACCCUAUUGUCUAAGUAUGAUCCAUCUUUAGUGUCUAACCCUAGGGAUGAGAUGAGUAGCUUUUUGACUAGUGUUGCCGACCUUGUAAAAAAAGAGUGUCGUAUGGCCAUGCUCCAUAAUGACAUGACUCUAUCUAGGCUUAUUGUGUAGGCUCAAUCCAUUGAGGAGUCUAAGAUAAAAAGGAGGGGUAGAGGUUUGAUGAGAGGAAGAAUCGACAAGCAAAAUCAACCUAGGUUAAAUAAGGGAGCUCCAAACCAAGAUGUCGUUAAUGCUCUUAAGGUUAACAAUGAAAGGGGUGGUGGUUCUCGAAUUGUUAAGACUACUUGCUCAACUUUUGGAAAGAAGCAUUUUGGGAAUCGUCGAGCCGAUACUAGUGGGUGCUAUGGUUGUAGAAAGAAUGAUCACAAGGUGAUAUAUUUCCCUACUAUUGCUACUAGAGGAAGAAAUGUCAAUCAAGGUCCUUAUAAUAGUCAGGAUGUGGGUGAACAAAAGAAGAGUCGCUUCUAUUCUCUCAAAGCUAAUAAGGAAUCAAAUACGGAUGAAGGGGCCGAUAAGUAAUAAUUCCUUACUUUAGUAAUGAGAUUUUAUAAUAUUGUUCAUUAUAGAGUUGAAGGAUUUUUUCUUCUUUCCUAUUCUAUUCUAGUGGGGAGUAUGGUCAAUAGUUGGGUUGAUGGAACUUGUGUCUUCUUUCCUAUUCUAUUCUAGCUCGAGAUAUAGAAUUCCUUUGUAGCAUGAUACAUGAUUUGGGAAUUUCUUGUGUAAAAUGAUUUUUAAGGAUCCCCUA
Molecule: long non-coding RNA, 1529 nt
Organism: Solanum pennellii
Lineage: Eukaryota; Viridiplantae; Streptophyta; Magnoliopsida; Solanales; Solanaceae
Exons: 3
Source: RefSeq, a predicted model, not a curated record